Molecule: transfer RNA, 71 nt
Filed under: Mangrovivirga cuniculi
Lineage: Bacteria; Pseudomonadati; Bacteroidota; Cytophagia; Cytophagales; Mangrovivirgaceae
Description: tRNA-Glu
Rfam family: tRNA
About the family: Transfer RNA (tRNA) molecules are approximately 80 nucleotides in length. Their secondary structure includes four short double-helical elements and three loops (D, anti-codon, and T loops). Further hydrogen bonds mediate the characteristic L-shaped molecular structure. tRNAs have two regions of fundamental functional importance: the anti-codon, which is responsible for specific mRNA codon recognition, and the 3' end, to which the tRNAs corresponding amino acid is attached (by aminoacyl-tRNA synthetases). tRNAs cope with the degeneracy of the genetic code in two manners: having more than one tRNA (with a specific anti-codon) for a particular amino acid; and 'wobble' base-pairing, i.e. permitting non-standard base-pairing at the 3rd anti-codon position.
Source: RNAcentral
GGAUUAGCUCAGAUGGCUAUAGCGUCCCGACUUCAUCGGGAAGGUCAUCGGUUCGACUCCGAUAUCCUCCA